CAGUCGCCACGGUAAUACCAGCAGCCCAAGUGGUGGUCGCGAUUAUUGGGCCUAAAGCGCUCGUAGCCGGGCCGGUAAGUCCCUUGUGAAAUCGGACGGCCUAACCGUUCGGCGUGCAAGGGAUACUGUCGGUCUUGAGGCCGGGAGACGUCCGAGGUACUCCGGGGGUAGCGGUGAAAUGUUCUAAUCCUCGGGGGACCACCGGUGGCGAAGGCGUUCGACGAGAACGGGCCUGACGGUGAGGGGCGAAGGCUAGGGGAGCAAACGGGAUUAGAUACCCCCGUAGUCCCUGUCUCUUAUA
RNAcentral lists this ribosomal RNA (301 nucleotides) under uncultured bacterium. Its description in RNAcentral is "partial 16S ribosomal RNA". It matches the Rfam family "Archaeal small subunit ribosomal RNA", at positions 459 to 759 of the family's 1478-position model. The record is from RNAcentral.